GACACUUUGAAGAAAUAGAAAAUGAUUUUUAAAAGAUUGCUUUAGAUAAAUAGAACUUGAGCUAGCAAAAGUGGCCCUUUCCAGACGUCCAGCCAGGAAACCCCAGGUGCAAGUGAAUCAGCAGACAUGUUGUCUCAUCUGAGACGGUACAAGAUCCGUGUGUCCACACACAGCCGGUCGUGGCUGAGUUCGUGGCUAUGCCUUCCUUCAGAUGUGGCCGGGCUCAGGCUGAUUCAGGGAGAAACACUGCUUCUCAUUGAGUCACAAGGCCGUCCUGGAGCUGUGCUGGACUUUGCUUGGAGUAAGGACAUUUGAAGGUAGAAGCUCACGUCUAAACUGCUCUGUAAAUCCUGCCACUCCACACGUAACGCCAUGAACUCAAAUAAAUUGCUGCCAGCUGUGCAGAAGGCCCAAGAUAAACAGCUUGCUGAAGGAGAGACAGCACGGAGGAUUUUUCUUAAAGGGAAGACAAUGCCAAGGAUCUGCUUCCACGCCUUCCAUGAUGGCUCCACUCCUAGCUUCAGUCCCCACCCUGUGCCCUACAUUUGUCCUGGGCUCGCUCCUAGCACAGUGUUCCAUCUGCUGUUGGCCAC
This 593-nucleotide long non-coding RNA is filed under the name Equus caballus (horse). RNAcentral's name for it is "lncRNA (ENSECAG00000028193.2)". The record is from RNAcentral. Lineage: Eukaryota; Metazoa; Chordata; Mammalia; Perissodactyla; Equidae.